CGGCACGGGUGAGUAAUACAUCGGAACGUGUCUUCUAGUGGGGGAUAACUGCCCGAAAGGGCAGCUAAUACCGCAUGAGACCUGAGGGUGAAAGCGGGGGAUCGCAAGACCUCGCGCUGGAAGAGCGGCCGAUGUCCGAUUAGCUAGUUGGUGAGGUAAAGGCUCACCAAGGCGACGAUCGGUAGCCGGACUGGGAGGUUGAACGGCCACAUUGGGACUGAGACACGGCCCAG
Molecule: ribosomal RNA, 233 nt
Filed under: uncultured bacterium
Lineage: Bacteria
Description: partial 16S ribosomal RNA
Rfam family: Bacterial small subunit ribosomal RNA
Source: RNAcentral